CAGUAGCUUCUUGUUGCUUAAGCACCUCUAUGUUUUGCUUAAGCACAACAGUAGAAUAUUUUUGGUAGUGUUUAGAAAACUGGCUAAGUAAGAGCUGAGAAAGAGAGGGAGGAGAGUCCUCUGCUUCCCAGGCCUUAUCUCUGCUGGAGGGUGUGGCUGUGUUUUAUAUAUUUUAAACAACCUAGCUACAGCUGUGAAACUGGUGAUAGAAAUGCUUAUCAAAGCGACUUGGAAAUGCUUGCAAUUUGUGCAAGUUUCCCCCAGAAGAGGAGGGGGAGGAAGAAAUUCCAUGGUAAUCCAUGUUAUAGAAAAUGCUCAAAUAUGCAAUAACUUUCCUUGAAGACCGCCUGCUUUGGAUCCCACGUGAAAAUACCAUUAAGCCUUCGGAGAAUGUGUUUGGGGAUGGCAAUCGAUUUGGGACCAGUUUACGGCUGUUGCAGAGUUCUGAAAGGCCUGUUGCACCCCCCUGCCCCUUACUGAGAAAGCAAGGCUGAGGGAAAUUCCAUCUGUGUCAUUCCUUCUUUAUUAAAUAAAAUACAAAUAGGAAGCACUUGA
Parus major (Great Tit) is the source of this 555-nucleotide long non-coding RNA. RefSeq lists it as uncharacterized. The transcript is spliced from 2 exons. The record is from RefSeq and is a predicted model, not a curated record. Lineage: Eukaryota; Metazoa; Chordata; Aves; Passeriformes; Paridae.